This is a long non-coding RNA of Cephus cinctus (wheat stem sawfly), 4719 nucleotides long. RefSeq lists it as uncharacterized. The transcript is spliced from 4 exons. The record is from RefSeq and is a predicted model, not a curated record. NCBI's taxonomy places the organism in Eukaryota, Metazoa, Arthropoda, Insecta, Hymenoptera, Cephidae.
CUAAAGUACAGGCUGGUCAAUGACAAUGUAAAAGCGAUGAAAGAGACAGGGACCAGAGAGGACAAGCACUUUAACAUUAGAAGAGAUCUCGCGUAGGCGGUCAAAGAGCGUAAACCGUUUUCAACGAGGCGGCGCCUCGCGUCUCGUUCUAAACUUGGCCACGCGCGUACGUAGAUGCAGUAUACGCGUAUUCUGCUCCCCAGCGCCUCUAGUUGAGCUAACGUCGCACGGAGCGACCGGAACGUGCUCUCCCGGGAAUUCGCCGGACUAAGGGAUUGACAAUCUCGAGCAGUCCCGCGUGCUCAGUACGUGUCCAGUUGAGAUUCUAUAAACAGCAAGGCAACUGUCUCUAACUGGAACGCUUUACAUAAUUUUAUGGUAGAUCUACUACGGCGCUCCUGGCAUUCGGUAGGAUUUAAUAGCGACGUCCCGGACAGUUGGAUGUGCAGACAUGCAUGCGAUACUAGAAGACGAGCGGGGUGGGGAUGAGGAAACAGCUGACGUCCACAGAGCUCAAGAUUUACUCUCUUAGUCGAAUAGAUAUGUAUCUCAAACUGGGUAAUGUCUAUCCAUGCUGGAUGAGUCAAUAUUGUAUUGGACGAAGACCCUGUGUGUCUCCCUUGUGAGGAGGUAUAAGCCGAUGCCGUGGAGAGAGGCUGAUGGACGAACGAGAUAGUCUGAAAGAGAUAGAGAAGUACAUUGCGUUUUGGGACACCCGGUAUUUCCGGCGCUAGCAGGCUGUUGCUAACUGGCUGCCGAGUAGGGCAUCGGCUGAAGGACAAAUCCAGGAGUUUGGCUCGGGCAGCACCGGCAGACAGACAGACACUCAGACAGGGGCCUGGCUACCCGACCGACAGAGACCGGCCGUUCGGUUAGGUUGCUGAUCGCUGUUAAAAGCUAAAGGCUAAAUAAGGGGGGCAGUCACGAGGUGGAAGGGGGGUGAAGCAAUGCCGAAGCUAUAGGAGAAGGUGCUGUGUAGAAGGAGGUGGUACGAACGAGAAUGACGGCGAUAGCUAUGGCGAUGGUGGUGGCGCUGUAGGAGGAGCUGCAGAAGAAGUCCCAAGAGGUGGGACAGGAACGAGGCCGAAGACUGAACGAACGGGCGAGCAGCCAAGAAUCUGGGCCCCGCGACGUCCUUGGGCCAGUAGUCUGUGUGGCUCAGGGCCGUCGCGGCUUGCCUGUUUUCCUCUCUGCUCCUCCACGGGUCCCUCUUUGUCCUGGGACCCUCGGGCCACGUAGAACCAGGCUCUGCUCCGGGCUCCUUGGGGGCCCCCGUGAAACCUCCUUCUACUCCCACCAAUCGCGUGGUCACUGGUGAAACCUUCUGCAUUGUACCGUCCCAAUAUUCGCCAACGUAUAUAACCAGACAGAGAAGUUUUCCUAUAUAUUAUCGACCUAACCACGAUGCCUCUAUUAUGUUCCCCUUCCUUUUUCUUUUUCGUUUUCUCCUAGACAAUUUGUUGCCUAAGGCGCUGCUCUGCUAUGAUGGAUAAAUGUUAUGCUUACUUAUAAUAAGCUAACGAUGUACUUAGGCAUCUAGUUUGCACCUUAGCCUCUAGUGAACUUUACUGUUGGAACUUCGUAAGAGAAUCCAUAACUUUGUAUGCUCUUGUCUGACUCACUACGGUUGGCUUGGUAUUCUAGGUUUUCAUGACCCACGGAAAAUGCUAUUUGAUACGUUAGAAAAGUUUGCUAUUGCAAUAUUUAUUUUUUCAACAGCCUGCUCUGUUCUUAACCUCGAAAUCUAUCUGUACGCCGGUGUAUUAUCGAUCGGAAUGUGUUUUGUACGACAGGGUGAUUAAGUGGUAUCGCCAGUCGGAUUUUGUGACGGGAGUUUUGUACGUUCGCCAAAAAAUGUUUUGACGAAAAAAGAGAAAAUUAGUAAUAAAAACAAAGACCGAUGUAGAUUUUCAAUAUUAUUUUUCCAUAGACACCUGAAAAUGCUGUAUAGAAAAGUUUAGUCUGCCGUACCCUAUUCAACCUAAACAUAUUAUAUUCCAGUACACAACCAGUCUGCGUUCUGAACUUUGAUGAAACUUGAACAAGAAAUUCUUUUACGUAAAAUUCGAGAAAUAUAAAAAUAAAUAAAAGACUUUUUAACACUUUCAAUCCUCAGAUAGAGAGACACUCUAACUUAUCACUUCCUGCUGGAUUUAUAGUCGUAAAUAGUUUCAAUGGUAUAUAUCGAGAACAUUCUCUAAAACCAGAAAGCGUUACCGUAAUCGCACAGCUGAAAUAUACUGUUAAAGGAUAUUUCUCUGAAGCGGCUACUAACUCGUGCAGGAAUUGCCUCAAACCCGAAAACGUCUUGCCUACUUCGCAGCACUUGGAAUAACAUCAGAGAACUCAAAGGAUUCCACAAUAUUACUCAGCAUUAGCAAACGGCAGUCCUGUCGCUCGUGAAGUCUUCCGCAAUCCAUCUGGAAUUCCGAUUAAUAUUAAUCCAUCGCACUCUACCGAGAAACGUGUCAGCCGGCUACGAAUAUCCAAGUUAAAAAAAUGUGCUACGUGAGGUUAGAAUACAUAUCCACCGCCUGGAUUUCUUCCUCGAGCACAACAGCCAGGUAUGUCUUCUUCGUUCGUCACACCCACGCGAAGUAGCUGCGAUUUCCCAGACUGCAUUGGGAUCCGCGUAUUCGUACGUAAAGAGGUUACAGGUUAGGACAUACAACGCCAGAGAGAUGAAAUCACCGUGAAAAUGAGGUCUUGCUGGAUUAUAUCGUAGAAUUAACUGACCGUGCGUUCAUCCAUUUCAUUUAUCUUUAUAAAAAUCCUCAACAAUCGAUCCCAGUCUAAAGAUUCGUCAUGCAUUCGCGAGCGACUAUCAGCAGAUGACGCUGCAAGCACAACUUUCAAAUUCUAACGGUUUUCAACGUAGUCUCUAACCUAACCUUUUCCCGGAAUCGUAAAGCGAACGUUGGCAAAUCGUCGAACGGAACCCCAGUGGGUAGGAGAUCGUCAAGAUUCGUGAUUUCAAUAUGGCGGCGUACUGGGUAUUCGUGAAAGGUCUUGAAAUGGUCAGUAUCCUCCCUACGUCAUCCCGUGUUCACAUACGUGUAUUAUAAUCUUCAUCUACACAUGUUACAUAGGUGGUUAAUACAUGUAGCCGUAGAUAUUGGCACGCAGAGGUGCAUCACACGGAGUUUUCAAUACGCGUAAGGAAACCUUCGCGUUUACAAACACUUGACAACAUGCAGAGUUUCUGUUGCAAGUGCAGCUUCGUACAUGAAUGCAUAUGUUCAUUAGUAUAGACGGGUGCAUCUGCAUUCUGCACCUUUGUCACGUGCGUGUGCCACACAUGGCUUAUGCAUAGGUGAAAGAACUUAUCCGUCGCACCUAACUGGAAGACGAGGAUUGAUUUCACACGUUUAAAACUCCGAAAACGAAACGAAGAAAGUCACGAAAGAGAAGGUAAAUUUCAAAAAUAGUUACACUGUUUUCUUUGGGAUGUUUGUGUAAAAAUCCUUGAGGAACGUAUAACAGAUUAUAUGAGCUACAAGACAGCGUGAAGAAUUACAAAAAUGUCAUUGAUUAUUUUUCAAUUAAAAGUUCUCACUGUAAAAUACGGUAGUUGUAUCAUUAUCAGGAUCUCAGUGUGAACGAUGCUUAAAGGUAGUGCAGUUCCUCCGCGACGGUCACUUCUAUAUUUAGAUGCGCUGAGUUUCCUCCUCCACUUUCUUUAUGCCGAACAAAGCGUUCCUUGUAGCAUACAGGGUGUCCGAGGAGUCGGAUUAAACCACGCAAACGUCCCUCGGAAUACGGAGUCUCGAAUUUUCGAAAGAUGCAUAGAAAGCGAAUGAGGAUAUGCAGGUAAGUCUUGGUUCCUGUUCGUAGAGAAAAUAUUUUCACGAAAAUUUCCAACCAUUGAAUAUCCUUCCUUUUGCAGUAUCUCAACUAAGGAUUUCCCCCAGGUCCCUACACGAACCACAAGGUGGAACCCACUUUCAUCCAGCCGUUCUGCUACCUGGACGUCCUUUGUUCCCGUGACAGGGUAGGGUCCUCGGCCAAAAUCCGACCUCUUGUACCACCCAUUAAUUAUUACAGCUCGUUGGUACCUGCUUGGAAAAGUACGGGCUCUCCCGUAUGAACGUUCGAUCUGUCGCUGAUAGGGACAAUGGACACCAUCUUAUCCAAACGCCAAGUUCGGUACCCAGGGACCAUCCUGACAAAGACGGUCUCAAUCAAUCACUAGUUUCCCAAUGUAUUUCUGAUCGAACGAGACGUGGCCAACAAACCAGUAAUUUUCAAGAGAUUACCACGUCCCGAGAAAGUCUGCCGAAGGGAGCUGGAUCGUUUUGUCAGUCAGGAUUCCUCGAGCUAACCAAUGGAUGAGGUCAGAGAAGUUACGCCAGGGUGGCUGUCAUGGGGGUCGGCGUAGAGGACGCGGUGGCUGAGAAGUAUCAGAGGGUAUGGAGAAGGUUUAGGUGCAGAGAACGAAGAAGAGGGACCCCCGUGUAUUCGGCGGGAUUUGGUGGUGUGAACAGGACUGUCUGGCAUCGAUCGAAACCCACUCCCCCCCCCCCCAAGGGUUUGGGGUUUUGGGGGGAGUGAGGGUCGGCGAGCCUACCCCAACCUCUCGACGAGCGUAUCGUAUCGACGACCUCUACUUGAACGGCGCACUCUGCUCUACAUCAUCUUCCCCUGGUGAAAUUUCUUUGCUCAAAAUUCAUCAACACCCGAGGUGUGUCUUGAGGAAGAAGCUCGAUAUUCCUAUGGUGU